Molecule: long non-coding RNA, 3523 nt
Filed under: Volvox carteri
Lineage: Eukaryota; Viridiplantae; Chlorophyta; Chlorophyceae; Chlamydomonadales; Volvocaceae
Description: long non-coding RNA (VCAR_LNC003378)
Source: RNAcentral
AGGUUAUAGCAUUAGUAGAGUCCUGUACCACUUGGAGUUUAUGGGGGCACCUAGCAACACCUCGAUGAAUAACCUGCUGGGAGACUGUGCGGCCGUUAUUGACAGGCGUCAACCGCCAUCUGUGCGGGACAAUGCUGAACGAAGACGGGCCCCGGGUGUGGGAGUUGCAUACAUGCCGUUUCCUCCUGCCAUUGGAGGUUUCGGUCUUAUUCCUUUGCACGAACAUCUGCGUGCACGAUUUGCCUGUUUGUCCUGUCGUGCAAUCCUUGGUAUGGCUGGUAUGUUGGAAACUAACCCCAUGUGGACUCGGGUAUUACUGGCAAUAUUGCGUCAUAUCCACCCGGCAGCCCACCCAUUAUGUCUGUUGGCCGUUAGGGGAGAUGUACGAGAUGGCCGUGUCACUACUAUCCUGGGUAGGCCUGUGCCGAAUGAUUGUCCGGCAUUAACACGAAUUCUAUCAGCUAUGACUUCCCUACCACAACCUGUCCUUCUGGAUGCGCAACAUCUAGCUCCGGGUCCUUGGUGUUACCAUAUCCCUCUUUGGGGAAACCCUUUGCUAAAUGACGCUCAGUUGGACGAACAUUUUGGUGAUCUUAGAAAUUUGCGUGGGUUAGAUACCGUAGGUAUGGCCGUACGAUGCCACACAGCUAUGUCGUCUACGUGGAAUUUGGUGCGCAUGGUUGGUGUACAAGGCCUUACUGAGGCGCAACACUUUCAUUGUACGAAUCUGUUUCGUACUAUCGUGGUACGGGGCAUAUUAGGGCUUACGCCGAGGCAUCCCCUGCCGGCAUCGUGUCAGUCGGGGGCGACUGCCAUAACGCGUAUAUCGCAACUUAUCGACCGCCUACCCCCGCAAUGGACCAUAGCGGCGAUAGUAGCUAUUAAUGACAGANACCAUGAAAUACCGCCUCCGNNNNNNNNNNNNNNNNNNNNNNNNNNNNNNNNNNNNNNNNNNNNNNNNNNUUCCCCGCUUCAAAGCUGUCAUGGAUGUNUUCCACGCAGCCUCGGGACAACGACUCAACGAUCGCAAGGUUGAGCUCUUGCCGCUUGGCACAUUCACCCGCAAUACAAGACCGGCGGACUUACCACCAGCGAAUGCUAUUGGUAAUCAUUUAAUCAUCCCGGUUACUAACCUAACGCAUAUGGCGAACUCUGUGGGUAAUGAACAAGUAGCAGACGAGGUUGAACAGCAGCCUAUUGUAGGUUCAAUAGUUGGCGAUUUCAGGGUGCUCUCAGUAGCUACAACCCUAGGGAUUCGCGUCGCAGAUAGGCCUUCGCUCGAACAGCAAUCGGUUUCGCUUUCUCCUGUGAGGAAUAGCUUGCAGUUAGUCGCUGGGAUGCAUUUAUCAGCUUUUGGUCGAGCUUUUGCGGUAUCAGGUUAUAGCAUUAGUAGAGUCCUGUACCACUUGGAGUUUAUGGGGGCACCUAGCAACACCUCGAUGAAUAACCUGCUGGGAGACUGUGCGGCCGUUAUUGACAGGCGUCAACCGCCAUCUGUGCGGGACAAUGCUGAACGAAGACGGGCCCCGGGUGUGGGAGUUGCAUACAUGCCGUUUCCUCCUGCCAUUGGAGGUUUCGGUCUUAUUCCUUUGCACGAACAUCUGCGUGCACGAUUUGCCUGUUUGUCCUGUCGUGCAAUCCUUGGUAUGGCUGGUAUGUUGGAAACUAACCCCAUGUGGACUCGGGUAUUACUGGCAAUAUUGCGUCAUAUCCACCCGGCAGCCCACCCAUUAUGUCUGUUGGCCGUUAGGGGAGAUGUACGAGAUGGCCGUGUCACUACUAUCCUGGGUAGGCCUGUGCCGAAUGAUUGUCCGGCAUUAACACGAAUUCUAUCAGCUAUGACUUCCCUACCACAACCUGUCCUUCUGGAUGCGCAACAUCUAGCUCCGGGUCCUUGGUGUUACCAUAUCCCUCUUUGGGGAAACCCUUUGCUAAAUGACGCUCAGUUGGACGAACAUUUUGGUGAUCUUAGAAAUUUGCGUGGGUUAGAUACCGUAGGUAUGGCCGUACGAUGCCACACAGCUAUGUCGUCUACGUGGAAUUUGGUGCGCAUGGUUGGUGUACAAGGCCUUACUGAGGCGCAACACUUUCAUUGUACGAAUCUGUUUCGUACUAUCGUGGUACGGGGCAUAUUAGGGCUUACGCCGAGGCAUCCCCUGCCGGCAUCGUGUCAGUCGGGGGCGACUGCCAUAACGCGUAUAUCGCAACUUAUCGACCGCCUACCCCCGCAAUGGACCAUAGCGGCGAUAGUAGCUAUUAAUGACAGAAACCAUGAAAUACCGCCUCCGCAAGAGGCCUGGAAAAGAAUUGUCAAAAGCUUGGGAUGGAGAUUUGGUCAAGUGUUACUGCAUUUCUCUCAAGUAACGGUUAAAUUUGCGACGACUUUACUAAUGGCACCUUCUUUACGAACGCUUGAUAUCAAACAUGAAGAUUUCAUUUUGGAUGCUGUUGAUAUCGUCUUAUCGCCGGAGAACUUGGCCAAUACUUUGUUGGAAUUCCGUCGUACUUUGUCGCGCAUGUGGAGACUUCGGUGGGAUAACGAGCAUAAAGAAGCCUUUUGGAGGCUGGCUCUUGAUGGUUUCCCUGCCUUUCCUAUGCAUAGGGCGCAACGUCAAAGAGGUAUCCCGGCUGCUAUGUGCCCCUGUGGUGUACGCAUGCUUUGUGGGGAUCGUCGGCAUCAUUUCUGGGAUUGUACUGUCGCGUUGGCUCUUCGUGAAGCUCUGCAAAACGAACUUGAGUUCCCUGACCUUUUCAACCGGGCUAACCUGUGGUUGGGCAUUCCACCAACCUGGAUUUGUUCGUGUGUAUGGGAGGUUGUAUGCCUCGCGGCCAUCAGCUCACUCAAUCUCGGUCGCCGUUUGUUGUUUAAGGAAGGUCUCCAGACCAUCAUGCCUAUAUCAACGCCAUCGCUUAACCGCAUUACAUACGAGGUUAUCUCUGACUUUUGGGCCCGUUUAACUGCUUUUGCGGCACGAGAUUACUUGCCAAAACAUUGGGAUCAUGUACCUCACAAUCACCCUUUCUUAUAUGUCAAUGACGCAGACAUGGUUGCUUGCCGUUUACCGAUAUACAAUGACGAAGUUUGAGGGCGCACGUCGGAGCCUCAAUUUUUUGUUUAAGCGUACUAACUGAGGCCGUGUGUCCAGUGAAGUUAGUACGGCCUGGCCGAGUUCUUUUUGAAUAAGGCCCACAGUGUUGUGCGGGAGGCGUUCCUAUGGGCGCUGCACUCGACCCGUUCGGGGUCCACUGUAACAAUCGCAUCCCUUUUAGGAUACAUCCUGUCCAAAGAUCCAAGGAUCCGGACAGGUGCAACUUUACCGGAGGAUAUCACAAUCCUGUGAAAAUGUGCGUGCGUACUUGGAAAGACGAAUUCGGAUACCAUCUGUGAGGGCCCGCAAAUCCAAGACCCAUCCGCACCCGCGUCCCCCUGGGUCCGGCCUCGCUUUCUCAUGCGCUUACCCCGCAAUGCUUCCCGCAUCCCACAACCACACAUAAGGAUCUCAAAAUGCGAAUCAGAUCCGAU